AAAGUGUGAACUAAAAUCUUUGUUUCCUUCCUUCUAGAUUUGCUCCCUUUAUUAUUCGUAAUAUUGGGGUUAAAGUAAUCUAGAUCUUUUACUGUGAGGAAAUUAGAGUGUUCAAAGCAGGCGUAACCUAGUCUUUGAAUAUAUUAGCAUGGGAUAAUGAAAUAGGACUUGAGUUCUACUUUCGUUGGUUUCUAGGGCUUAAGUAAUGAUUAAUAGGGAUAGUUGGGGUCACUAGUAUUUAAUUGUCAGAGGUGAAAUUCUAAGAUUUAUUAAAGACUAACUACUGCGAAAGCAUUUGACAAGGAUGUUUUCAUUAAUCAAGAACGAAAGUUGGGGGAUCGAAGAUGAUCAGAUACCGUCGUAGUCUCAACCAUAAACUAUGCCGACCAAGGAUCCGGGGGUGUUAAAUAUGGAUGACUCUCCGGGCACUUAUAGAGAAAUCAUAAGUAUUUGGGCUCCGGGGGGAGUAUGGUCGCAAGGCUGAAACUUAAAGGAAUUGACGGAAGGGCACCACAAGGAGUGGAACCUGCGGUUUAAUUUGACUCAACACGGGAAAACUUACCAGGUCCAGACACAGUGAGGAUUGACAGAUUGAGAGUUCUUUCUUGAUUCUGUGAGUGGUGGUGCAUGGCCGUUUCUAGUUGGUGGAGUGAUUUGUCUGGUUAAUUCCGUUAACGAACGAGACCUUAACCUAUUAAAUAGUUAAUCUUGAACAUGUCUUCUUUUGAGGACAUUUGUUUAGUUAACUUCU
This 751-nucleotide ribosomal RNA is filed under the name uncultured eukaryote. RNAcentral describes it as "bacterial SSU rRNA". It matches the Rfam family "Eukaryotic small subunit ribosomal RNA", at positions 664 to 1411 of the family's 1831-position model. The record is from RNAcentral.